Molecule: ribosomal RNA, 362 nt
Filed under: uncultured Actinomycetes bacterium
Lineage: Bacteria; Bacillati; Actinomycetota; Actinomycetes
Description: bacterial SSU rRNA
Rfam family: Bacterial small subunit ribosomal RNA
Source: RNAcentral
CGAACGCUGGCGGCGUGCUUAACACAUGCAAGUCGAACGAUGAAGUUCCUUCGGGAAUGGAUUAGUGGCGAACGGGUGAGGAACACGUGAGAAACCUGCCUUUCAUUUUGGGAUAACUCCGGGAAACCGGGGCUAAAACCGAAUACUCCGUCUCGGCGGCAUCGCUGAGCCGGGAAAAAAUUUUGAUGAAAGAUGGUCUCGCGGCCUAUCAGCUAGUUGGUGAGGUAAUGGCUCACCAAGGCGACGACGGGUAGCCGGCCUGAGAGGGCGACCGGCCACACUGGGACUGAGACACGGCCCAGACUCCUACGGGAGGCAGCAGUGGGGAAUAUUGGGCAAUGGGCGCAAGCCUGACCCAGCGA